ACGUGGGUAACCUGCCUGUAAGACUGGGAUAACUCCGGGAAACCGGGGCUAAUACCGGAUGGUUGUUUGAACCGCAUGGUUCAGACAUAAAAGGUGGCUUCGGCUACCACUUACAGAUGGACCCGCGGCGCAUUAGCUAGUUGGUGAGGUAACGGCUCACCAAGGCGACGAUGCGUAGCCGACCUGAGAGGGUGAUCGGCCACACUGGGACUGAGACACGGCCCAGACUCCUACGGGAGGCAGCAGUAGGGAAUCUUCCGCAAUGGACGAAAGUCUGACGGAGCAACGCCGCGUGAGUGAUGAAGGUUUUCGGAUCGUAAAGCUCUGUUGUUAGGGAAGAACAAGUGCCGUUCAAAUAGGGCGGCACCUUGACGGUACCUAACCAGAAAGCCACGGCUAACUACGUGCCAGCAGCCGCGGUAAUACGUAGGUGGCAAGCGUUGUCCGGAAUUAUUGGGCGUAAAGGGCUCGCAGGCGGUUUCUUAAGUCUGAUGUGAAAGCCCCCGGCUC
This 510-nucleotide ribosomal RNA is filed under the name Bacillus sp. SCAUE9007. RNAcentral describes it as "bacterial SSU rRNA". It matches the Rfam family "Bacterial small subunit ribosomal RNA", at positions 115 to 610 of the family's 1533-position model. Lineage: Bacteria; Bacillati; Bacillota; Bacilli; Caryophanales; Bacillaceae. The record is from RNAcentral.